Molecule: ribosomal RNA, 763 nt
Filed under: uncultured fungus
Lineage: Eukaryota; Fungi
Description: eukaryotic LSU rRNA
Rfam family: 5.8S ribosomal RNA (bases 286-439)
Source: RNAcentral
CUUGGUCAUUUAGAGGAGUAAAAGUCGUAACAAGGUUUCCGUAGGUGAACCUGCGGAAGGAUCAUUAUCGUACAAAAUGUGAGAGGGGCAUGCGAGGGCUGUCGCUGACUCAAAGUCGUGCACGCCCGAGUGUGUCGCCUCACAUAAUAAUCCAUCUCACCCUUUGUGCAUCACCGCGUGGGCACCCCUUUGGGAUCAUCUCGGAGGGGGCUCGCGUUUUCACACAAAACCCCCCUUUUAAAAGUGUAGAAUGACCUCAUUUAUGCGCUAACCCGCAAUCAAUACAACUUUCAACAACGGAUCUCUUGGCUCUCGCAUCGAUGAAGAACGCAGCGAAAUGCGAUACGUAAUGUGAAUUGCAGAAUUCAGUGAAUCAUCGAAUCUUUGAACGCACCUUGCGCCCCCUGGUAUUCCGAGGGGCACACCCGUUUGAGUGUCGUGAAAACCUCAACCUCCUUGGUUUCUUCUGGAGACCAAAGCAGGCUUGGACUUUGGAGGCCUUUGCUGGCACCUCUCGCCAGCUCCUCUUAAAUGAAUUAGCAGGGUCCUCUUUGCUGAUCCUCGACGUGUGAUAAGAUGUUUCCAUGUCUUGGUUUCUGGCUCUGUCACCUUUGGGACCCGCUUCUAACCGUCUUCAACCUUGCGUUGAGACAACGUUCGAGCAUGUCUCCCUUCUCGGGAAGCUCCCUCGACCCCACGAACCCUUGACCUCAAAUCGGGUGAGACUACCCGCUGAACUUAAGCAUAUCAAUAAGCGGAGGAA